GAUGAAGAACGUAGCGAAAUGCGAUACUUGGUGUGAAUUGCAGAAUCCCGUGAACCAUCGAGUCUUUGAACGCAAGUUGCGCCCGAAGCCAUUAGGCCGAGGGCACGCCUGCCUGGGCGUCACACGUCGUUGCCCCCCCAUCUACUCCUUCGGGAUUGCGGGGGGCGGAUGAUGGCCUCCCGUGCGCCUCGUCGCGCGGUUGGCCUAAAUGCCAAGUCCUCGGCGACGCACGCCACGACAAUCGGUGGUUGCGAAACCUCGGUUGCCUGUCGUGUGCGGUCGUCGCGCAUCGAGGGCUCGAAAAAAUUGCCGGGCUUCGGCUCGACUUUCAACGCAACCCCAGGUCAGGCGGGGUUACCCGCUGAAUUUAAGCAUAUCAAUAAGCGGAGGA
Molecule: unclassified non-coding RNA, 391 nt
Filed under: soil metagenome
Description: partial contains 5.8S ribosomal RNA, internal transcribed spacer 2, and large subunit ribosomal RNA
Rfam family: 5.8S ribosomal RNA (bases 1-122)
Source: RNAcentral